Amblyraja radiata (thorny skate) is the source of this 68-nucleotide long non-coding RNA. RefSeq lists it as uncharacterized. The record is from RefSeq and is a predicted model, not a curated record. The transcript has 3 exons. NCBI's taxonomy places the organism in Eukaryota, Metazoa, Chordata, Chondrichthyes, Rajiformes, Rajidae.
AAAAAGUUGGACCCGGACCACACGAGAUUGAGCAAUAACAGGUCUGUGAUGUCCUUAGAUGUCCAGGG